RNAcentral lists this ribosomal RNA (505 nucleotides) under uncultured bacterium. Its description in RNAcentral is "partial 16S ribosomal RNA". It matches the Rfam family "Bacterial small subunit ribosomal RNA", at positions 28 to 507 of the family's 1533-position model. The record is from RNAcentral.
GACGAACGCUGGCGGCGUGCCUAAUACAUGCAAGUAGAACGCACAGUUUAUACCGUAGCUUGCUACACCAUAGGCUGUGAGUUGCGAACGGGUGAGUAACGCGUAGGUAACCUGCCUGGUAGCGGGGGAUAACUAUUGGAAACGAUAGCUAAUACCGCAUAAUAUUAAUUAUUGCAUGAUAAUUGAUUGAAAGAUGCAACUGCAUCACUACCAGAUGGACCUGCGUUGUAUUAGCUAGUAGGUGAGGUAACGGCUCACCUAGGCGACGAUACAUAGCCGACCUGAGAGGGUGAUCGGCCACACUGGGACUGAGACACGGCCCAGACUCCUACGGGAGGCAGCAGUAGGGAAUCUUCGGCAAUGGACGAAAGUCUGACCGAGCAACGCCGCGUGAGUGAAGAAGGUUUUCGGAUCGUAAAGCUCUGUUGUAAGAGAAGAACGGGUGUGAGAGUGGAAAGUUCACACUGUGACGGUAUCUUACCAGAAAGGGACGGCUAACUACGUG